RNAcentral lists this unclassified non-coding RNA (202 nucleotides) under Hevea brasiliensis (rubber tree). Lineage: Eukaryota; Viridiplantae; Streptophyta; Magnoliopsida; Malpighiales; Euphorbiaceae. The record is from RNAcentral.
AGUUUACACGCUUCAGGCACGAAAUUCGGUUUUUACCUGAUCAAUUUGAGUUCGAGUUAUUGAAUUGUUUUGUUAUAAUUAUGUGGUUAUGAAUAAUUACAAUGUGGUGGGUGCAUUUGGGAAGUGGAUUUUGAAUAUUUUUGCUUGAUUCUAUUGCUAAUUGUGUUCUGCGUAUCAUUGGCAUUCAUCAAUCCAGUGAAAC